UUCCCUCACCCCCAAAUUUUACAGAUAGGGAAACUAGUCCCAACUCAUCAAAACUAGACCUUCCUUCCACCAAGAACAGGAGGAUACACAUUUGGCUCCUGGAAAAAGGUUGGAGACCAAAGACACAAGAAUAGAUUCUUCUAGCUUGAUAUGUGGCAACAGCAAAGCUCGAUGGUCGAAUAUCUCUCAGUUCAAUGGCCAAGCAUGUGUCACUCCCUUGCCCUUCUGCUCCCAAUGAAGCCAUUCAAGGAGCCUGCUGGAACACAGGAGUCAAAAAACGGAGACAGGUGAGCUUUAGGCAAAGUCAUCAUCACCAGAAGGAGCAUACAAUCAUCUCGACAGCCUUUGCCUUGAAUCCACUCACGUUGGCUGUACUAGGCUGCUACUUCCUUUUAAUGUCCUGCUUGCAACCUUUCCAUGUAAUGAAAACCCCCAAACCUUUCCUUGUAACCAAAAGCCCUCCAAGAUAUUUAAGCGAGUCAAUCGGCAUAGCAAGUACAUGUGAUGCUAUGUACCACAUUCCAGAUCCAUGGUUUCCACCUGUCCACUGAGAGAAGGAAGGUGAAGGAAAUUAAUUUUGAGUCUCCAAUCUUGUGAGUUUCAAAAGGUCGGAUAAUGAGACUCCAAGAGUCCAAGAGAUUGGGAGUUGGAGUCCAAGUUGGGUCUUGCAACCAGCUCAGCAGACACUUCAAGAUCCAAGAAUGAGCUUCAGGACCCAGCAGUGGAGAGGAGGACUUAUGGAGCAGUCAUCUGAAUGGGAACUUGGUGGGACUAAUGCUAUGUAGAAUCAUAUUAAGUUUGAGCCUGCUCUACUUAGAGACUGAAGUUAUGUAGGGGAGAGUGUGCCUCUGAGGUGUUGGGUGGGGGAAUAUUUGCACUUUUGUUUUUUUCUAAGCAAGUAUCUCUUUUGUAAAACCUAAUUGAUGUGAAUGGUUAAAUGGAACUGGGGUGCUAGUUAGUCACUGGUGGCUAAAAAUGGGGGGAAAAUAAUUAUGGGGGCUUGUGUUGAUGGAAUUAUAGAAGAGAUGCCUCAACCUUUUAGGGUUACUACUAGAAUGCACUUGGUACUGUCUUAAGGCAAACAGGGUGAAGUGACUUGCCCAGGGUCACACAGCUAGUAAGUAUCUGAGGCCAUAUUGGUUUUAGAGCUACUGGAUAGGACUAUGAGUAGAGAUAUGAUGAAGGUCACCAAUAAAUCUAUUAAUUAAUUAACAAACAU
This is a long non-coding RNA of Phascolarctos cinereus (koala), 1219 nucleotides long. RefSeq lists it as uncharacterized. Lineage: Eukaryota; Metazoa; Chordata; Mammalia; Diprotodontia; Phascolarctidae. The record is from RefSeq and is a predicted model, not a curated record.